This 254-nucleotide ribosomal RNA is filed under the name uncultured bacterium. Its description in RNAcentral is "partial 16S ribosomal RNA". It matches the Rfam family "Bacterial small subunit ribosomal RNA", at positions 524 to 776 of the family's 1533-position model. The record is from RNAcentral.
UACAGAGGGGGCAAGCGUUGUUCGGAAUUACUGGGCGUAAAGGGCGCGUAGGCGGCCUGUUAAGUCGGACGUGAAAUCCCUCGGCUCAACCGGGGAACUGCGUCCGAUACUGGCGGGCUUGAAUUCGGGAGAGGGAUGUGGAAUUCCAGGUGUAGCGGUGAAAUGCGUAGAUAUCUGGAGGAACACCGGUGGCGAAGGCGGCGUCCUGGACCAAUACUGACACUGAGUGAGCGAAAGCCAGGGGAGCAAACGGG